AUACUCUGGUUUCUCUUCAGAUCGUAUAAAUCUUUCGCCUUUUACUAAAGAUUUCCGUGGAGAGGAACAACUCUGAGUCUUAAGCUAAUUUUUUGAGGCCUUGUUCCGACAAGGCU
Molecule: small nuclear RNA, 116 nt
Organism: Homo sapiens (human)
Lineage: Eukaryota; Metazoa; Chordata; Mammalia; Primates; Hominidae
Gene: RNU5B-1
Product: RNA, U5B small nuclear 1
Source: Ensembl